AAGGAAGUCAGGUAAGCUGCUUUUGUGGUUCUAAAAAAGGCUUGCAUCCUUAAGGGUUCCUGGUUGCCCUCCCCCAAGAAGGAGUGUUCAAAGAGUUUAAUUAACAUCAUGUUUCAGAACUUGGCCCUUUAAGUCACACUGUCUUGGGUUUGCAUCUCAGCACUUCAGCUCCCAACUUGGCUUAUGACCUAUCUGCACCUCAGUUUCCUCCUAAUAGUACCUACUUCAUAAGAAUGUUGUAAGGAUCAAAUGAGAUAAUGCACUUACAGCAUUUAUCAUAACGCCUGGCACAACGUGACCACCCAGUAAAUGAAACUGUUCUUCAUCUUCUUCUAGAAACAGGCUGAACCAUGGAAUUGGUGCCCCAGAAUGGGAAGAACUGUUAGUGUUUCCUGAUGAUCCUCCGUCUCUCUAAAUUGAAACAUACGGACCAUCUCAUCUGUCUGGACUUUUUCUGGCCCCAUCACUUCUGUGGAAUGGAAAUUAGCAAGAGCAGCCAAGACACCAGGUAUGCAUGUGGGGGCAUGGAAUUGUUGGGGAGGUGUGGAGACAUUGGGGUAGCUGAAGCCAAUGUCAAGGCCCUCCCAAGGUGAGAAUCUGGCAAGAACACAUGCAUGAUGAUCAGCUGCCCUAAGGCAUUUGCUUCCUCAUUCCCAUACCCUCAAUGACAGUGGAUUGCAACCUAAGAAGUUUAUCUCCUCUUGGCGAUAAUCUGCUUCUUUCCAAGAAUUUAAGGGAGACUCUUUGGAUGGAGGUAGUGCCUGCUGAAGAAACUGGGAAAGGAGUUGAUCUGCAGGUUCUGUGAUGUGUGAUGCUAUCAUUCCUAGAGAACUCCCCCAGCCUCCACAGAUAGUCCUAAGGACCAAUAUCACACAGACUAUGCUCUGACUGCAAUGCAAUUGGGCUAGAAAUAAAUUACAAAAGAAUGAUUGUCUAGAGACAGUUCUCCAUGGUCUCUCAUGUUUAUGUUUGUCUUCUGAACAGACGCAUUGUCGGCUUUGGACUGCUUUUUCAAGGAUGUUUAUAUAGCAAACAGCUGAGGAAAAUAAAUAUAGUAUCUCCCUCUAUGACAGGGGGCAGGUUUGUUUGCUGUCAAGUAAAAUGAAGAUAAUAUCUCCCUGUGGGACAAAGAUUGGAUAGGUUGGCUUAUCCUAAUCUUAGGGGGUUGACUGAAGCCCAUUCCAGGUGCAGCAUCCUCCUGGACCCAGUUUGCGUCACUCUUGCAGGACUUAUGAAGCAAGGGGAACCAGUGAAAAAAUAAAGUCAUUAAGUCCAGGAGUCUCAUGUCUUCUACCUGUGUUUUUGAAAUUGUGACUGGCUACCUUGUUGUUUACAAGUAGGAAAAUUCAAGACUUCACAGUUCUUGAUAAUAACGUUUAAAAAUCCUUUAAGUCUGAUAUGAAAUUGCAUAUAACUAAAUACUCUUUAAAUUAAAAAGGAAUUUGUGAAGAUAAUAUAGAAAGCAGAAUAAACUGAAAGUAUUUUAAGCCAAAAUGCAUGAACAUAGCUAAAAUAGUAUUUGGAGGGAAAUUUAUAGAUUUAAAUAAAUAUUUUGGGAAUCAAGAAAGAUUGAAAACUAAUGAGUUAAGUAUUUAGUUCAAGAAGAAGGAAACUUUGCUCUAAUUUCAUUAGAGCAAAAGUAAAGAAAUCAAAAAGAAAGAAAUAUUAAAGGCAGAAAUCAAAGUAAAGAAUAAAACAAUAAUAAUACAAGAUAUAAUAAUAGCAACAGCAACAAUAAUGAAGGUCAGUAAAAUUAAAGGCAAAUCUUUAAUACUUUUUGAAAAAAUAAACAAGGUGGUCUGGGAGGACUGGUCAAAAAUAGAGAUCAUUUAAAACAAAAUGCAGAAUGAUAAAAAGGGGAAAAUGCAGAUGUAGAAGAACUUUAAAAAUAAUAAGAAUAUUGUGAAAACUAUAGUCUAAUAUAUUUGAAACUGUAGGUAUAGUAGAUUUUACUCUACAAUAAUAAUAAUGUUUAAAUUACUCAACAGCAGGUAGAGGUUGGUGGUGGCUAAUCAGGAUGAGCAUGUGCCAGUCAGAAAGGGUGCUGCCUAGAUGCCAGAGUGGUGUGUCCUGCCUGAACAACAGCUCUGCAUUUCUGAGAUGAAAAUUAAAUUUGCGUUUGUCCUGAGGAGAAAUAUGAAUAUCAAACAGGCCAGUAAGCACUUAAGAAGCAAAGUGGGUAUUAAAGCUUUUACUUUCCAAAAAGCUACAGCCCAGAAAGUGUUUUAUUUAUUCAUUUUUUUUUUUUGUCUUUUUACCAUUUCUUGGGCCAUUCCCACGGCAUAUGGAGGUUCCCAGGCUAGGGGUCGAAUCGGACUGUAGCCACUGGCCUACACCAGAGCCACAGCAACAUGGGAUUCGAGCCACGUCUCGACUUACACCACAGCUCACGGCAACGCCGGAUCCUUAACCCACUGAGCAAGGCCAGGGAUCAAACCUGCAACCUCAUGGUUCCUAGUCAGAUUCGUUAACCACUGAGCCAUGACGGAACUCCCCAGAAAGUGUUUUAGAUGAAAGCUUUACAAACUUUUAAGGAACGGGUAAUUCUCUACUUUAUAUUUUUUCAAUGGUAUCAAAAUCCAUAGGUUUUGGGAGGGAAAAAUGUUAGAUAUUAAAAUAGUGUGUGGGCCUCCAAGGGGGUCACAGUACAUAAACAGAUAUAAGUGUCUCUGUGGUAUUAAAACUUCAUGGUGGGGGAUGAGGAAAAAACAUCUAAAAAGGCUCCAGAGAGAGGGGGAGAUGCUAAUGAAAAAAAAUAUAUAUUAAGGAACACUCCCUAAUUUUAGUCAAGAAAAUAGAAAAAGAGCAAAAAUUUCCCAGAUCAUUAUAACAUUUUAAAAGUCUAGUAUAACUGAAUCCACAACUGCAUAAGAAGAACACAUAUACACGCACACAUUUACAUACACAUAUGCAUUUUUAUUCUUAAGUGAAUUGUGCCUCUGUAGAUACAUAGAGUCAUGUUCAGUUAUGAAAAUGAGUUCAAAAAUCCUCCAUAAAUAUUCAUUAAAUGAAUCCAACAACAGUAUUAAAAAUAUAUCUCAAAACCAGGUUUACCCUCCUGCCUUAAACAAUGAGAAAAACGAGAUAGACUAUGUGGAACAACUGUUUUAAGAUAUAAAAUGGCAGGAAGGUCAAGACCGUGAUUCUGGAGCAAAGGGAAAGCAAUGAGAUGAGUCCUGCCAUCACUGUAGCUUUCUGCCUGGAGGUACAUUCUGAAUAGCAGAGUGUAUAGGGAGUUCUCCAGCAGAACACAGUGUUCUCUCUGAGUUGAGGAGCCCAGAUUGGAGUUCUGGGAGUCUGAGGUAGCUAGAAGCUCUGGAGGCAGAGUUCCAGGGAAGAGAGAACUGAAUAAAAACAUCUCAGUCUUUGGUUAACAAUAGAAUGUGUAGACACAGAGUGAAACUCUUUUAUAUACAUUCAGGUACAUAUAUACAUUUAUAUACAUAUGUGUAAAUAGACUUAUACUAAAAAAUACACUAAAAUAACCCUGAUCAAAUUAAAGCUGAAGUGGCUAUGCUAAUAAGAUAGACUGAAUUAGAGCUGUUUACUGUAUUACCCUAAAGCAACUACUACAUAAAAAACAAAAGAGUUAUAACUAGUAAGUCCCCGAAGGACAAAAAAUAGGUUCAUAAAAAUAUUCAAUUAAUCCAAAAAGAGUCAAUAAAAUAGGAAAAGAGUUCAUAAAUGAAGAUGGAACAAAUAGAAAUCAAACAGUAAGGUAGAAGCAUAUGAUUUAUCACAUAAAGUACAAAUGGUAUAAACACCAGAUUAAAAGCAGAGAUUGUCAGAUUGGGCAAUAAAGUAAUAUCUAACUAUAUGCUGCCUCUAAGCAAUUCACUUUAAAUAUAAAGACACAAGCAGUUAAAAAGAAAAAAAUGGAAAAAAUACACUAAAAUAACCCUGAUCAAAUUAAAGCUGAAGUGGCUAUGCUAAUAUCAGACAAAGUAGAAUUCAUUGCAAAUAAUCUUUCUUAGUAAGGAUAAAGAAGGUAAUUUCAUCAUGAUAAAAGGGUCAUUUCACUAAAGGACAUAGCAAUUAAUGUUUUUGCACCAAGUAACAGAGGAUCAAAAUACAUCAAGUGAAAAACCAAUGGACCUGAAAGGAUAAAUUGGCAACUUUACAGUUACAUUCAGAGAUUUCAGUGUCCUCUUUUAAUAAUUAAUAGAACAAGUAGAACAAGUAGAAAAUCUGUUUGGGCAUAGAAGACUUGAAAAAUACAAUAUACCAUAACCCCAAACUUUAUGUAUUUAUAUUUAUAGAACAUUUCACCCAACAACUCCAUAAUGCACAUUCUUUUCAAGUGCCCAUGGAGUAUUGAAUAAGACAAUAUUCUGGGAUGUAAAACCUCUAUAAACUGAAAACAAUUCAACUCAUGCAAAAUAUGUUCUCUGACUACAAUGGAAUUAAACUAGAAGACAAGAGAAAAAUACCAGAAAA
Molecule: long non-coding RNA, 4437 nt
Filed under: Sus scrofa (pig)
Lineage: Eukaryota; Metazoa; Chordata; Mammalia; Artiodactyla; Suidae
Description: lncRNA (ENSSSCG00050068786.1)
Source: RNAcentral